GCCGAAGUGGUGGAAUGGCAGACACGCAUGGUUCAGGACCAUGUGCCCUUACGGGCAUAGGAGUUCGACUCUCCUCUUCGGCACCA
This 86-nucleotide transfer RNA is filed under the name Abditibacteriota bacterium. RNAcentral describes it as "tRNA-Leu". It matches the Rfam family "tRNA". Rfam says of the family: Transfer RNA (tRNA) molecules are approximately 80 nucleotides in length. Their secondary structure includes four short double-helical elements and three loops (D, anti-codon, and T loops). Lineage: Bacteria; Pseudomonadati; Abditibacteriota. The record is from RNAcentral.